RNAcentral lists this ribosomal RNA (2708 nucleotides) under Burkholderia contaminans. Its description in RNAcentral is "23S ribosomal RNA". It matches the Rfam family "Bacterial large subunit ribosomal RNA". The record is from RNAcentral. Lineage: Bacteria; Pseudomonadati; Pseudomonadota; Betaproteobacteria; Burkholderiales; Burkholderiaceae.
AGCGAACGCGGUGAACUGAAACAUCUAAGUAACCGCAGGAAAAGAAAUCAACCGAGAUUCCCAAAGUAGUGGCGAGCGAAAUGGGAUGAGCCUUGCACUCUUUAUUUGUAUUGUUAGCCGAACGCUCUGGAAAGUGCGGCCAUAGCAGGUGAUAGCCCUGUAGGCGAAAACAGUAUGAAAGAACUAGGUGUGCGACAAGUAGGGCGGGACACGUGAAAUCCUGUCUGAAGAUGGGGGGACCAUCCUCCAAGGCUAAAUACUCGUGAUCGACCGAUAGUGAACCAGUACCGUGAGGGAAAGGCGAAAAGAACCCCGGGAGGGGAGUGAAAUAGAUCCUGAAACCGCAUGCAUACAAACAGUCGGAGCCUCGUAAGGGGUGACGGCGUACCUUUUGUAUAAUGGGUCAGCGACUUACGUUCAGUAGCAAGCUUAACCGUAUAGGGCAGGCGUAGCGAAAGCGAGUCCGAAUAGGGCGUUCAGUUGCUGGGCGUAGACCCGAAACCAGGUGAUCUAUCCAUGGCCAGGAUGAAGGUGCGGUAACACGUACUGGAGGUCCGAACCCACUAACGUUGAAAAGUUAGGGGAUGAGCUGUGGAUAGGGGUGAAAGGCUAAACAAACCUGGAAAUAGCUGGUUCUCUCCGAAAACUAUUUAGGUAGUGCCUCGUGUCUCACCUUCGGGGGUAGAGCACUGUCAUGGUUGGGGGGUCUAUUGCAGAUUACCCCGCCAUAGCAAACUCCGAAUACCGAAGAGUGCAAUCACGGGAGACAGACAUCGGGUGCUAACGUCCGGUGUCAAGAGGGAAACAACCCAGACCGCCAGCUAAGGUCCCCAAAUAUAGCUAAGUGGGAAACGAAGUGGGAAGGCUAAAACAGUCAGGAGGUUGGCUUAGAAGCAGCCACCCUUUAAAGAAAGCGUAAUAGCUCACUGAUCGAGUCGUCCUGCGCGGAAGAUGUAACGGGGCUAAGCUAUAUACCGAAGCUGCGGAUGCGUGCUUAGCACGCAUGGUAGGAGAGCGUUCCGUAAGCCUGCGAAGGUGCCUUGUAAAGGGUGCUGGAGGUAUCGGAAGUGCGAAUGCUGACAUGAGUAGCGAUAAAGGGGGUGAAAGGCCCCCUCGCCGUAAGCCCAAGGUUUCCUACGCAACGUUCAUCGGCGUAGGGUGAGUCGGCCCCUAAGGCGAGGCAGAAAUGCGUAGCUGAUGGGAAGCAGGUCAAUAUUCCUGCACCAUUGUUAGAUGCGAUGGGGGGACGGAUCGCGGAAGGUUGUCCGGGUGUUGGAAGUCCCGGUCGCUGCAUUGGAGAAGGCGCUUAGGCAAAUCCGGGCGCGGAAUUCAAGGGUGUGGCGCGAGCUCCUUAGGGAGCGAAGCAAUUGGAAGUGGUUCCAAGAAAAGCCUCUAAGCUUCAGUCUAACGAUGACCGUACCGCAAACCGACACAGGUGGGCGAGAUGAGUAUUCUAAGGCGCUUGAGAGAACUCGGGAGAAGGAACUCGGCAAAUUGGUACCGUAACUUCGGGAUAAGGUACGCCCUUGUAGCUUGACUGGCUUGCGCCAGAAGGGUGAAGGGGUUGCAAUAAACUGGUGGCUGCGACUGUUUAAUAAAAACACAGCACUCUGCAAACACGAAAGUGGACGUAUAGGGUGUGACGCCUGCCCGGUGCCGGAAGAUUAAAUGAUGGGGUGCAAGCUCUUGAUUGAAGUCCCGGUAAACGGCGGCCGUAACUAUAACGGUCCUAAGGUAGCGAAAUUCCUUGUCGGGUAAGUUCCGACCUGCACGAAUGGCGUAACGAUGGCCACACUGUCUCCUCCCGAGACUCAGCGAAGUUGAAGUGUUUGUGAUGAUGCAAUCUACCCGCGGCUAGACGGAAAGACCCCAUGAACCUUUACUGUAGCUUUGCAUUGGACUUUGAACCGAUCUGUGUAGGAUAGGUGGGAGGCUAUGAAACCGGAACGCUAGUUUCGGUGGAGCCGUCCUUGAAAUACCACCCUGGUUUGUUUGAGGUUCUAACCUUGGCCCGUGAUCCGGGUCGGGGACAGUGCAUGGUAGGCAGUUUGACUGGGGCGGUCUCCUCCCAAAGCGUAACGGAGGAGUACGAAGGUACGCUAGGUACGGUCGGAAAUCGUGCUGAUAGUGCAAUGGCAUAAGCGUGCUUAACUGCGAGACCGACAAGUCGAGCAGGUGCGAAAGCAGGUCAUAGUGAUCCGGUGGUUCUGUAUGGAAGGGCCAUCGCUCAACGGAUAAAAGGUACUCUGGGGAUAACAGGCUGAUACCGCCCAAGAGUUCAUAUCGACGGCGGUGUUUGGCACCUCGAUGUCGGCUCAUCUCAUCCUGGGGCUGUAGCCGGUCCCAAGGGUAUGGCUGUUCGCCAUUUAAAGAGGUACGUGAGCUGGGUUUAAAACGUCGUGAGACAGUUUGGUCCCUAUCUGCCGUGGGCGUUGGAUAUUUGAAGGGGGCUGCUCCUAGUACGAGAGGACCGGAGUGGACGAACCUCUGGUGUACCGGUUGUCACGCCAGUGGCAUCGCCGGGUAGCUAUGUUCGGAAGAGAUAACCGCUGAAAGCAUCUAAGCGGGAAACUCGCCUUAAGAUGAGAUAUCCCUGGGGACUAGAUCCCCUUGAAGGGUCGUUCGAGACCAGGACGUUGAUAGGUCAGGUGUGUAAGCGCAGUAAUGCGUUCAGCUAACUGAUACUAAUUGCCCGUAAGGCUUGAUCC